Molecule: long non-coding RNA, 909 nt
Organism: Gambusia affinis (western mosquitofish)
Lineage: Eukaryota; Metazoa; Chordata; Actinopteri; Cyprinodontiformes; Poeciliidae
Exons: 3
Source: RefSeq, a predicted model, not a curated record
UUUCACCCAAUCAAAAUGUUCUUCUCUGUUGCUCGGCAGAUAGUUGUCAAAUCAGCCAAUCAUAUCCUCUAAGUGGGCUGGCUUUGUAGUGACAAGCUCCGCCCCUUUUGAGGACUAACCAGUCAGAGCUCAACCUGCAUGUCCGGUGUUCUGUCAGAUCAGCAUAAACUGUCAGAUCGUUAUACGCUUAGCACGAACUGACGGCUAUAUCUAUCAGACAGGUAUACAUUGUACAUAUGAUUUUAUUUAAUUAGCAACAUAGAAUCAUGACGUAGAUCGUCAUACACUUUGCUGUUAACAGCUGUAUGACAUCUUGAUUUAGCGGUUAAUUAGGUUAAUGGGUUUUACAUGGGCGUGUGUUGUAGUUGACUGGAGCUGCAGCUAUACCCUGCUUUAAAUAUACUUUAAAACCACGGCAACACAUGUAUAUCUAUCUACUUAUCAUUAAAAACAAUUUAAUUACUUAUUUUCGUCACAAUGUGCCCUCUAUGCUGAACUGACAGCUCCUCUGACGGUCGGACUUCUUAAUGCGCAUGUCUGCGCAUGCGUACUCACUGCACAUAUGCUAUUCUGACAGUGUAUGAUAAUCUGAUAGAACACCGGUUCUGGCAGCGGGUCAACUUCAGAGCUAUCCGCGAUUAAAACAAAGAAGAAGAAUUUGAGCCACGCAGAGAGGCUGCUAGCGUAAGUCGGGAUCGGAGCUACCGGGUUACCAAACAACUGCAGGAAGAAAGAGAGGAGGACGGGAUGAAGAUGUGAGGAGGAGGUGGUUGCCAUGGUUACAAACAGCCGACUGCUGGGGUUUUAAAUCAUCUGAAGUUUGUAAGUUCUAAAUAGUGUCACUCUCUUCCCUUAAGACGCCCUUUUAUAUGUUAAUUUCCCUGAAAUAACUGCAUGUGGGAGAGUUUU